UAAUGGACCUAACAAGUUCUCUGGGAGGUUGCACUGCUUUCGCAAAAUCCAACAAAGGCUCUGCCGUCAUGUUUCUAUAGAAUCCAUUGAAAGUAAUUUCAUUGCUUGGUUCACUUAUGUGUUGACCUCCAGAGGCACAUGAAUAACAACAGCUGAAGUAAACUCACUCCUGUCUGCUACACCUGUGAGGGGCACGGAAGCCCACUCCAAGAACAGCACAUGUUAUGGAGGAACAGUGAUUACAAGACUCUGCUCUUGUUUGCUUGAAGUUUUCUUGCAAGCUCUCAGAAAUCCCCUCAUACAGCUUCAUUUGUGAACUGUGUCUUUCUUCUCUUCUCCUAAGAUGCCAGUUCUGACUAGAGGGGUGCUGUGCAGUUCAAACUGGCUUUAAUACCCUCCUGCCUUUUACUCCAAGUGAUAUGACAGUCUUGCUAUGUGGCCCAUGCUGUCCCUGAAUUUGCUAUCCUGAGGCUAACCCCAAACUAGCAAUUUUCACGCUUCAAUCUCUCAAGUCAUGCACCACCAUACCUUGCUUUAACAUGUCUUUUAGGAGACAUAAUUCAACCUGAAGCAGCAAUUAUCAGAAUCCCUCCUCUCUCUCAUCGAUUGGACUCCUGGAACUCUGCCUGGGACCCAGCCGUGGAUUUCUGCAUCUGCUUCCUUCAGUCACUGGAUGAGGGUUCUAUGAUACCACCCUGAACGUGUCCAAUCUUGUCUGAAAACAAUUUCUAAGCAAAUUCAUCUAUUCCUAUUUAUCCUGGGAAUAUUUAGAUAUGAUGGUGCAGUAAUAAUUGAAUGUAUAGUAAUGUUAAGUUGCAUUUCAAUUAGUACUAUGUUUUCUACGUGCAUGUUAGAUAAAAGAGACAAUUUAAAGUUUAGCACAAACUUAUAUGCAAUUUAACUCUGAUACGUCAUGGACUGUGUCCUUCUAAGAUUGUACCUGUAAAUUUGCAAGGCUUUUCUUGCAUUUGUAUGUUGAUUAGAUGAAAUAGACAUUCUGCAGAGUUAAAAUUAAAAUGUACAGACCCGUAUGAGGGUCAGUCAGCAAGGAUUGCUUUCUAAAUUUUAUGUCCCCAGACAGCCAUCAGGCAGCCAGCAGAAAAAUGCAUUGGAAGCCAUGGAGUCUUCAGUUUUUAUCUCUGACAUUAUGCUGAGAGUCGACAGAUGGAAGCCCAGCAGCAGACAUGCAAAGUGGAUGCCAAAUGAGGCACAUAUAUAUAGCAGAGUGGUGCCCUACCCAGGUGGUCAUCUUCUCCUCUCCAGAACCUUUAACAUGGCUCACUCCACACUUGACUAUGCUGUAGCGAUAUUGACAUGUUCUUCAGUCAUUGGCGAAUGUCAGUGGGCUCUUGGCUCUCUGCGUAGGGAACUUUGGUAUGCUCUCUGCUCUGUACAUAUGUCCAAGCUGGCAGCCAGUUGGCAUGGCUGCUGAUGUGUCUCUAUCUGUCAGAUCUCCUCAUCACCUUUGGGAUAGAAAGAGGCGAUAUGAGUAUGUCAGCAAGAAUGUUAUCAUUGGCCGAGGAAAGAUAUCCAGGGAAAUGAAAAUUUAGCGAUAUUUUAAAAGUAACUUCAAAAAUUACCAUCUCAACUAGGGAUCCAUUUAUCUUUGGGAAUAUAGUAAAAAUCUAAUUAAAGGUGGAAAGACUUGCAAUCAUUUUAGACAAGACUUUCAUAGUAGGCAAAGAGUGAAGCAAACUGUGAACAAAUGUGCCCCAAAGACCAAGGGGAUGGAGCAGGAGAGAUGCUUUCCUAACAAAGCAUCAUGUAGUACAUUCAAACAAAAAUGAUUACAUUUUAAUUGACCAAAAUCACAAUUAUAGAUGCAUUAAAUAGAAUCUUGUACAUGUUUUACAUAUGCACCAUGACCAUGUUUUAGACAGUUUUAGGAUGACAUAUACCUGUAAUGUCUGCCUUUCACAUUUAUUCUGUUCAUUACCACCUAACAGAAGAUAGACAAGUCAUUUGUGCUUCAAAUUUAUUAGAUAACCUUGAAAUAAUUGGUUGAACUGGCUCCAUUUUAAACGAACUUCUCCAUCAUCUUUUCAUUUCAGUGAUGCUAUAUGUGAUUGUUAGAUUCAUUAAUCCAUCUAUUCACAUCAACAAUUAUUUACUGAACUCAUUACCUCCUGUCCAACACUUUAAGCAAUUUCUCUGAUUAUGCUCCCUAAUUAAUUUCAUGAAAUCAAAAUCCACUCACUCAAGACAAGAACUUUAAGAAUCAUCCUUGACUUUUCCCUUUCACUCACUUCUCACAAGCAAUCCAUUCUUAUCUUCUGCAGUCCAUUUCCUAAACAUCACAGAUGAGUUACCUUGUAUAAAAAAAUCAGAAGCAGUAUUCUGAUCCUUUGGAUUUCAGUAGUCUGUCAUAGCACUUAAUAACAGAGCUUUAGGGAAUAUGCCACUGCCACACCAUCUUGUGAUAGUGUGCGUUAUUCACAAAAGGAUGAAUAUUAGCAUUUUCAGUCAUUUGUGGGAGGUUAGUUAUGGAACAGCUGCAGCAACAAGUUCAAAUUCAGGGAUAUGUUUUUCAUCUUGAACUGGGAUGGUGGUAGACAACUGUUUAUUUAGAUAUGGAAGAGUUGUCAGAAUGUUCUUUUGCAGCUAAAUGUAUCACUUCCCUGAUAACCCCUAUAUUAGGAAUGGAAAACAAACCUAAGUUUUGCAAAAGUGAUCUUUCCAGGAUGGAAACUCAGAAGAGAUCUAUGACUGUGGGUUCCUGAGCAACCUGAAUCUAGAAUAACAUUUCUAGUCCAUUACAGCUAUCAGAAGGGUUUUUAUGUGAGUUCCGGUUUGAUUGGGUGACUAAUAAAAUCUACCUCACAAAGAAUAACAAAGCAUAUGCUUUAUCAUUUAUGCUUAAGAAUGAGUAAUUUCACUAUUAGUUAUUAAAUUGUAUGGCAGGUACAGCUUAGGCUCUUCCCAGGCAAUCAGCCAUGUGG
Long non-coding RNA from Peromyscus californicus insignis, 2939 nucleotides. RefSeq lists it as uncharacterized. The record is from RefSeq and is a predicted model, not a curated record. NCBI's taxonomy places the organism in Eukaryota, Metazoa, Chordata, Mammalia, Rodentia, Cricetidae. The transcript has 4 exons.